Long non-coding RNA from Spinacia oleracea (spinach), 707 nucleotides. RefSeq lists it as uncharacterized. The transcript has 2 exons. The record is from RefSeq and is a predicted model, not a curated record. NCBI's taxonomy places the organism in Eukaryota, Viridiplantae, Streptophyta, Magnoliopsida, Caryophyllales, Amaranthaceae.
AAGAAUGAGUUAAGUACACAUUUGGGGUCUCACCUUUUGGUUUUUUCACCAUUUGGGACCCGAAGCUUUUUUUUUCACCGUUAAGGACCUAUAAUAAAAUUUCCGGCCAAAAUUAACCCAAUUGUGUGAAAGUUUAGUCCCCUUAGUUAUAAGGUUAGUCCCCUUAGUUAAAGUACACUUGUCAUCAUAUGAUUUGUUCCGCUUAAACAAUGCAAAGGUUUACCUUUCACAUUUACCCUUCUAAAUUCUAAUACUCUGAAUUGUAAUUCGGUCUUCUCCGUCGAGGCGUUGUCUCUUUGAAGAAAUUGCCUUGAACCUCCGGCGCUUAACUUUGGCAAUGUCCGUCCUCUUUCAGAUUUACGCCACUUCUUCCGCCAUUACUUAGAUGUAAAAUGGUUGCGGAAAUGCUUGAUUAUUGCUGUAAAACUUGCUUGAUGCACCUGAUUACAAAUGAGAUGAAGGUUUUGGUUGAUGACAAAAUUACUGGAAUGCUUUCAGAUGUGAAUACUGUAAAUUUUUUUAAGGUGUUUGAUGAUGAACACUUUUUUCAAUUUGGUGUUGGCGUUUGAUGAAAAACAUGGUAACAGGAAGAGUUUUAUAGCAAGCAAUCCUUAACGGUCAUAUUUUGUGUAAUUUGAGAGAUUUUACCUUCAUUUAAUGUUCUGAAAUUAUUAAUUGCAUUUAAAUGUUUUUAUUUUUUAUUUUUA